CUCGCUGCGUGGGCGUUCUGAGAAGAUGAAGAGUCAUCACCACUCCCUUGGAUGUUGUGGAGAUGACUGCAAUUUGGUUGCAUGCCUGCAGUGAACCUGGCCACCUCAGUAAAAUCUAAAGUUACUUCAGUGCAAAUCAGAACAGCAAAAGCUGCUGAAUAGGAGACCAGCACUGGCUUGUACAGAAGCACUUCUAAGAUCACAAAAAUAGUAGCAGUAGUAGGCCAAAGAAGGAGCAAACAAUGAUGGGAAGGAAGCAAAGAGUACGGCUACGUGCAUCCAUAAAAUGAAGCUGAAAACAGUGGAUACCUCUCUUUCUGUUGGAGGUCACUUGCUGA
Long non-coding RNA from Egretta garzetta (little egret), 338 nucleotides. RefSeq lists it as uncharacterized. Lineage: Eukaryota; Metazoa; Chordata; Aves; Pelecaniformes; Ardeidae. The transcript has 4 exons. The record is from RefSeq and is a predicted model, not a curated record.